AGAGCGAACGCUGGCGGCAGGCUUAACACAUGCAAGUCGAGCGGGCGUAGCAAUACGUCAGCGGCAGACGGGUGAGUAACGCGUGGGAACGUACCUUUUGGUUCGGAACAACACAGGGAAACUUGUGCUAAUACCGGAUAAGCCCUUACGGGGAAAGAUUUAUCGCCGAAAGAUCGGCCCGCGUCUGAUUAGCUAGUUGGUGAGGUAACGGCUCACCAAGGCGACGAUCAGUAGCUGGUCUGAGAGGAUGAUCAGCCACAUUGGGACUGAGACACGGCCCAAACUCCUACGGGAGGCAGCAGUGGGGAAUAUUGGACAAUGGGCGAAAGCCUGAUCCAGCCAUGCCGCGUGAGUGAUGAAGGCCCUAGGGUUGUAAAGCUCUUUUGUGCGGGAAGAUAAUGACGGUACCGCAAGAAUAAGCCCGGCUAACUUCGCGCCAGCAGCCGC
RNAcentral lists this ribosomal RNA (447 nucleotides) under uncultured bacterium. RNAcentral's name for it is "SSU rRNA". It matches the Rfam family "Bacterial small subunit ribosomal RNA", at positions 26 to 518 of the family's 1533-position model. The record is from RNAcentral.